CAGUCGCCACGGUAAUGCGAAGGGGGCUAGCGUUGCUCGGAAUGACUGGGCGUAAAGGGCGCGUAGGCGGUUGGUACAGUCAGAUGUGAAAUUCCUGGGCUUAACCUGGGGGCUGCAUUUGAUACGUGCUGGCUUGAGUGGGGAAGAGGGUUGUGGAAUUCCCAGUGUAGAGGUGAAGUUCGUAGAUAUUGGAAAGAACACCGGUGGCGAAGGCGGCGACCUGGUCUUUAACUGACGCUGAGGCGCGAAAGCGUGGGGAGCAAACAGGAUUAGAUACCCCAGUAGUCCCUGUCUCUUAUAC
RNAcentral lists this ribosomal RNA (301 nucleotides) under uncultured bacterium. RNAcentral's name for it is "partial 16S ribosomal RNA". It matches the Rfam family "Bacterial small subunit ribosomal RNA", at positions 509 to 807 of the family's 1533-position model. The record is from RNAcentral.